Molecule: long non-coding RNA, 504 nt
Filed under: Calidris pygmaea (Spoon-billed sandpiper)
Lineage: Eukaryota; Metazoa; Chordata; Aves; Charadriiformes; Scolopacidae
Description: lncRNA (ENSCPGG00000003395.1)
Source: RNAcentral
GCCCUCCCCGCCCGCAGCCCCGCCGGCAGCGCCGCCUCCCCGCGGCCGCCGCUCGCCGCCCGCGGCCCCGCGCCGCGCCCCCGCCACACGGGGCGCCGCCGCCGCCGCCCGCGCGCUGACGGGCGCUUCGCAGGUGCCGCGCUCGCCCCGAGUCGCGGAGGGGCAGCCCCGCUGCCCUCCCGGCUCCGCACCGGCGGGAGGGAGGGAAGAGCGGCGGGGGAGCAGCCGGCAGCGCCGUUUUCUCAAGUUCUGGAAGUAGCAGGGCAUUUGUUUGGUAACUGACCUUGAACUUGUGUUCUACCUUGGAAAGAUCUGCAGUAGGAAACAUUCAUCUUCACAUACUCCAGAGUUCUCUGCAUCAGGAGAAAAGGACUUCACAUGCAAGGGUGGUUAAAGAUGGUGAUGUAACAUUGAUAACACUGACGAUCUCCCAAGAAUAACUGACUUUGUAAGAGGCUUCUUCUCUGCUUCCUUUUUUUUUUUUUUUUUUAAUAUAACUUAAUC